UCUCAUAUAUAGCUCCAUUUUCUACUAACUUAUGAAAGAGGCAAUUCUCUCUCCCUCUUUAAUAGAACAUUCUAGAAUGCUCUAUCCCUUUCCAAUUCUCUACUAGCUAAUGGAGCACUCUAGAAAACUCUAGGAACAAAAUGCUCUCUACUUGCUAAUAGAACACUUUAGUGAGUUCUAGAAGCAAGUACUCUAGAAUAUUCUAGAGUUCUCAUGUAGGUAGGUUGGAGACCUAUAAAUAGGUGUGAGGCCUCCACACCAAGUGUGCUUGGAGUGUGCAAGAGUGUGAGAGUGAAGAGUGAGAUAUAGUGAAGUAAGGGUGUGAGUGGUGGUGUGAGGUGAGGAAGUGUUGUGAGGUGUAGUGAAGUAGUGAAGUGAGUGUGCGAGGUUUGUAGUCUUAUGGGUGUAUGUGAAUGAGGGUUAUUUUGUGUGUAAUAAAGAGAGUUUUAUUAUUAGCUUGGUACGCCAAUAUUCUACAAUUUGGUAUCAGAGCCAGAUUGUAGGAAAUAUUCUGCUAGUUAAGUCGGUGAAAUUCUGCCAGUCCAGGCAGUUAAAUACUGAUAUAAGCAGAGAUUCUGCUGGUGCACAGUCUGGGACUAUGAAGUUGGUCAGUCUGGGACCAGACUUACUUGGUUGACUGCUGGGCAAUCACCAAGUCACUAUGGCAGAUCUUGCUGGUACAACUAGCGAAAUUAAGAAGCUAAAUAACCAUAAUUAUGGUUAUUGGCAAACCUGCAUUGAGUCCUAUCUACAAGGGCAGGACUUGUGGGAGGUAAUCGGUGGUGCUGAAACAACUCCACCACUGAAGGAGAAUGCAGAAGUGUUCAGAAAGUGGCGUAUCAAGGCAGGGAAGGCAAUGUUCAUUCUGAAGACAACAAUUGAAGAAGAGCUGCUGGAGCAUAUCAAAGAAGCAGAUACACCCAAGGUUGCAUGGGACACCCUCGCCUCGUUAUUUUCAAAGAAGAAUGAUGCUCGACUUAAACUGCUGGAAAAUGAGCUGAUGACGAUAUCUCAGGGCAGCAUGAUGAUUAGCCAGUACUUCAUGAAGGUAAAAUCUCUCUGCCGUGAAAUUUUCCAAUUAGAUCCAGAGUCAAAAAUUAGUGACCAGCAGAUGAAGAGAAUUAUUAUUCACGGCCUAAAACCCAAAUAUAACGGAUUCAUUACUGCUAUUCGAGGUUGGCCCACUCAAUCAAUGUUGGUGGAGCUAGAAAAUUUACUGGCUAAUCAGGAGGCUCUAGCCAAACAGAUGGCUGGAGUCUCACUGAAAACUGAAGAGGAGGCACUCUUCAGCAGUAGAAGAAAAGGUCGAGCAACAGGAGGGCCAAGAAAUGUGAAGCCGCUUAAGGAGUUCAGUAGGGCAAAACAAAGGUCGGGAGAGAGCCACCUUACAGGGAGAGUCCACAACCAGAAGGAGCAAAAUACCUGGCAGUUUAAAGACAACAAACGGCGAAGCGGAGAGUGUUAUAAUUGCGGCAAGAAAGGACACUUCGCCCGAGACUGUUGGUACAUGAAGAAAUAAGUACAAGGCAAUAUGGCAACAUCAGGUGACCAUCAAGCAGCAUACAAAAGUGAAGAAUAGUGGGAUGCUCAAGCCUCCUUCGCCAUCAUGGAGUCAAAAGAAGACUGUUAUUCAAACAAGGAGAAGGCUCUCGAAGAACAAAGGUCAGCAAACACUGCUGCAGAGGAGAUGACGCCAAGUGCUAAGAAGGAAAAGCUACCAAAGCAGGUACCAAUAUAUGCAUUAACUGUUAGAUGUAUGCCCUAGAAGCCAACCAGGCCGACACAUGUAUUCUUUCUAGGACAUAAAUUUGUAUUUGACUUUAAAAUAUUAUGAAUAAAUUUGGGUUAUUAUUUCCAUUCAUGUUGUGUACGUGUCCAUGAAUCGUCCAAGGAAUUAAUAAGAUGAUGACAUAUAUUCUCAAGAGUUGAGAAUUUGAGACAUGUGUCAUUGGUGGUUAAUUCCUAAAUGCUCCCGAUCAAUGGAUCAUCACGGGGACGGUGAUUGAUCCAGUGAGAUUGGUGCAUAGGUCGCUUCCCUUUUGGGUAGACGAGUCUCGAGUCGACAGUGUGGGGACACUGAAGCGAAUAUGCAGGUGGUUGUUAGAGAACAAGGGUACCGAGCGUGACCAACGCGAGAAGUCACUUGGAUGUCUACUCACUCGUCAGUGACUUACUCAAUUGUUGCAGUAGUGUGACUGGUCCUUUGACCUGCGGUGCCUCGGCUAUUCACAAUGAGGUUACUGUAGUUUGACUGUACAUACACUUGGUCCCUAGCCAUUCGGGUCCUUGCGGUGCAUGUUGGCUGCAGUAGGUUCAUUGUAGGAAUAGGGUGCGCACUUAGAUGGAAUCUAUCUCCCUUGGUAGAUAGGGGUGUUAGUCCUAUGUGAUUUAUGAGACCGAGUUUAGAAGACCUUGGCCAGGGCAGAAUAAAUAGCGGAAAAGGGUUUCCGAUAUUAGAAACUCGAGUCGAAUAAAUUUAACAUAUGACAGACGAUGGGGUUUGACGAGUUAUUCCAUAACCUCCGUCUAGUCGGGACUCAUGAUAGAAGGAUUGUAUCACACGGUAACUGCACCAAGAGGUUCAGUAUUCCAUUCUACUGGAAUGCCACUACAUGCUGCUAGGCGUCACUGGUGGAUUGUGAGACUCAUGAGAAUUAUCUAGAUGAUCGAUAAUUCUCAUUGGGCUGAGUUGGAAUUGUUCCGAUCCACUGAAAGGAGUUUCAGUGAUAUUGUUGAUAGUGAUCAAAAUAUAUCUCACUACCAGAUAGAAUAGAACCUAUGGGGUCACACACAUAAGAGGUUGUGAUUGAUCGGAUAGCUAGAUUGCGAUUAUUGAAUCGCCGGAGGACCUAAUUGUCAAUAUGUUGAUAAUUGGACUAAUUUGUAAUUGUUACAAAUUAGUGGUAUUAAGGUGUAAAUGUUACAAGAGAGGACUUACUAAUAGUUAGUAAAUUAGAAGAAGACUUAUGUGCAAAUGUUGCAUUAUUAAUUUGAUAUGAUCAAAUUAAUAUAAAGAUCGAAUCAAAUUAGGAUUUGAUCGAUCUAACCAAUUAAGGAAAGGAUAAAUUUAAUCUAGAUUUAUACUUAUUCUUAAUUGUCGUUAUAUUAUUAGGAAUAGGAUUAUAUUCCUAUAUAUAACAUACGGGAGUUUUUAGAAAACCCUAGCCGUUAUCUCUCUUCUCUUCUCUCUUCCAUCUUUUAGCAAGAAAGACGUCAUUUUGCAAGGAAGCUAGCACCCCGGUGAGGACAUCGAUCAAAUCAAGAACCUCGUGUGGAUACCUAUAGAGGCCGGACGCGUGUGCGGCUUCAAGAGAACCGAAUUCCACGAUUAUCAAAUUGAGGGGAAGAUCUAUCUGCAAAAAAGGUAAAGAUUCGAUCUUAUUUUUCUUCUUUAAUCUUAAAACAUGAGGGAUCCUAAUUGCGUGGUUUUUGAGAUUGGAUCUCGAGAGUUUUCAAAAAUCAAAUUUGUUUGAUUUCUUUUUCCGCUGCGUUUUUACUGUACGCAAUUUUCUAACAUUAACAACAAUAGAAAAUCCAAGAGAGGUGAAUUACAGUACAGAUUGGAUCAUCGACUCUGGAUGUUCCAAUCAUAUGACCAGUGAUAAAGACAAGCUGCUCAACACAACAGAAUAUAAAGGAGGAAGAGUAGUGGUGACAGCUAACAACUCGAAGCUGCGUAUCACCCACAUAGGAAAGACAAUCAUCACACCCAGAUGCAGCUCACAUCAAGUACAACUAUAGAACGUCUGCCAUGUCCCAGGUAUGAAGAAAAAUCUCUAAUCAGUAUCACAAUUGACUGCAUCGGGCAAUUAUGUAGUAUUUGGGCCACAAGAUGUCAAGAUAUUUCGCAAUCCCAAGAUAUCAGGUAUACAAAUCACGGAAGGAAAGAAAGUAGAGUCUAUCUACGUAAUGUCUGCAGAAUUAGCAUACGUAGAAAAGACUCGGAAAAGUGAGACUGCUGAUUUGUGGCAUGCAAGACUGGGACAUGUGGGCUAUCACAAACUGAAAAUCAUGAUGGAGCGCGACAUGCUUAAGGGCUUACCUCAACUUGAAGUACGAGGAGACACUAUCUGCGCAGGAUGCCAGUUUGGUAAGGCUCAUCAACUUCCCUACACUGAAUCCAAAUAUAGAGCCAAGGUACCGCUCGAGCUCGUGCACUCUGAUGUUUUUGGACCAGUCAAGCAAACAUCAAUUAGCGGCAUGUGCUACAUGGUGACGUUCAUUGAUGACUUCUCAAGGUACGUCUGGAUAUACUUUAUUAAAGAAAAAUCUGAAGUGCUGCAAAAAUUUAAAAAAUUUAAAGAAAAAGUUGAAGGCCAAACCGGUUAUAAAAUACGAUGCAUGUGCACGGAUAAUGGAAGUGAAUAUACCUCAGCAGAGUUCUCAGCUUAUCUGCGAGAGUGCAAAAUAAGGAGACAGCUUACGUGUCCACGCACUCCGCAACAAAAUGGUAUAGCUGAGAGAAAGAAUAGACAUCUAGCAGAAACUUGCAGAAGCAUGCUGCAUGCGAAGAAUGUGCCAUGCAGAUUUUGGGCAGAAUGUAUGAGAACAGCAGCACAUGUCAUCAACCGGCUGCCGCAACCGAAGUUAGGAUUCAUCUCACCCUAUCAAGUACUAUGGAAAAUCAAACCCACAGUAAGUCAUUUUCGAGUCUUUGGAUGCGUCUGCUAUGUGUUCGUACCGGACCAUCUUCGAAGUAAAUUCGACAAGAAGGCGAUACGAUGCAUCUUCGUCGGGUACGACAGUGAAAGAAAAGGGUGGAGAUGCUGUGACCCAACAACCGGUCGUUGUUACACGUCGAGAAAUGUCGUGUUCGAUGAAGCGUCAUCCUGGUGCUCCUCACAAGAAGUUAUACUGCCAGACUCUGAAGAAAUAGAAAUCAAGCUACAAGAAAAGCUUGGAGAACAAGAACAAGAAGGAGAAAAGGUCGUGCCAGAGCAAGAAGAAAGCGGUCAACCUUCAAUAGAGCCAACCGGUGACGAGCAGCAUCUCCAGAAGUCUCCAGAACCCUGGCGAACUGACGUGCAUUAUCAAACCCCAGAAGAAUAUCGGCCAAGCCAGCUUGAAGACAUAGGUAUGCAGUUACGAAGAUCCUCUAGGCAAAGAAAACCUAAUCCUAAGUAUGCAAAUGUUGCUAUCGCCGAAGAAGAAGAGACUCCAAAAGAGCCGACCUCCUACGAAGAAGCAGUUACAAGCAAGGAGUAGAGGAACGCAAUGGACGAAAGGAUCCAGGUGCUAAAACAGAAUCAAAACAGAAGAGCAAGUAGCCGACAUAUUCACCAAACGGCUAAGCACCACAAAAUUCGAAGAGUUCCGGAAGCGAUUAGGAAUGCUCAGCAAAGUAACAUUAAGAGAGAGUUAGAGUUGAGGGGGAGUAUUGAAAGAGGCAACUCUCUCUCUCUCUUUAAUAGAACAUUCUAGAAUACUCUAUCCCUUUCCAAUUCUCUACUAGCUAAUGGAGCACUCUAGAAAACUCUAGGAACAAAGUGCUCUCUACUUGCUAAUAGAACACUUUAGUGAGUUCUAGAAGCAAGUACUCUAGAAUAUUCUAGAGUGCUCAUGUAGGUAGGUUGGAGGUCUAUAAAUAGGUGUGAGGGCUCCACACCAAGUGUGCUUGGAGUGUGCAAGAGUGUGAGAGUGAAGAGUGAGAUAUAUAGUGAAGUAAGGAUGUGAGUAGUGGUGUGAGGUGAGGAAGUGUUGUGAGGUGUAGUGAAGUAGUGAAGUGAGUGUGUGAGGUUUGUAGUCUUAUAGGUGUAUGUGAAUGAGAGUUAUUUUAUAUGUAAUAAAAAGAGUUUUAUUAUUAGCUUGGUACGCCAAUAUUCUACAACUUAGUCCUUAAAUUUGAAACAAUUAAAAUAUCAAUUUUACUCAUUU
RNAcentral lists this long non-coding RNA (5874 nucleotides) under Ananas comosus (pineapple). Its description in RNAcentral is "long non-coding RNA (ACOM_LNC032524)". Lineage: Eukaryota; Viridiplantae; Streptophyta; Magnoliopsida; Poales; Bromeliaceae. The record is from RNAcentral.